GAUGAACGCUGGCGGCGUGCCUAAUACAUGCAAGUCGAGCGAACGGACGAGAAGCUUGCUUCUCUGAUGUUAGCGGCGGACGGGUGAGUAACACGUGGAUAACCUACCUAUAAGACUGGGAUAACUUCGGGAAACCGGAGCUAAUACCGGAUGAUAUUUUGAACCGCAUGGUUCAAAAGUGAAAGACGGUCUUGCUGUCACUUAUAGAUGGAUCCGCGCUGCAUUAGCUAGUUGGUAAGGUAACGGCUUACCAAGGCAACGAUGCAUAGCCGACCUGAGAGGGGGACUGGGCCAACUGGAACUGGGAAACCGGCCCGACUCCCAAGGGAGGGCGGCGGGGGGAAUUCUUCCGAAUGGGGGAAAGCCCGAAGGAGGCACGCCGCGGGAGGGAAGAAGGUCCUUGGAUUGGAAAAACCUUUUAAUUGGGAAGAAAAAAAGUUGGAGGAAACUGUGCAAUUUUGAAGGUAACCAAACAAGAAGCCCCGGGUAAAUUCGGG
RNAcentral lists this ribosomal RNA (497 nucleotides) under uncultured bacterium. RNAcentral describes it as "partial 16S ribosomal RNA". It matches the Rfam family "Bacterial small subunit ribosomal RNA", at positions 28 to 507 of the family's 1533-position model. The record is from RNAcentral.